This 257-nucleotide ribosomal RNA is filed under the name uncultured Glomeromycotina. RNAcentral describes it as "partial 18S ribosomal RNA". It matches the Rfam family "Eukaryotic small subunit ribosomal RNA", at positions 569 to 832 of the family's 1831-position model. Lineage: Eukaryota; Fungi; Glomeromycota. The record is from RNAcentral.
AGCAGCCGCGGUAAUUCCAGCUCCAAUAGCGUAUAUUAAAGUUGUUGCAGUUAAAAAAGCUCGUAGUUGAACUUCGGGACCGGUGGGUUGGUCGUGCCUCCGGUACGUACUGGUCUUACUGGUUCCUCCUUCUGAAGAACCACGAUGUCAUUAAUUUGGUGUCGUGGGGAAUCAGGACUGUUACUUUGAAAAAUUAGAGUGUUUAAAGCAGGCUAAAGCUUGAAUAGAUUAGCAUGGAAUAACGAAAUAGGACGUUU